GAUGAAGAACGCAGCGAAAUGCGAUAAGUAAUGUGAAUUGCAGAAUUCAGUGAAUCAUCGAAUCUUUGAACGCACAUUGCGCCCGCCAGCAUUCUGGCGGGCAUGCCUGUUCGAGCGUCAUUUCAACCCUCGACCUCCCUUUGGGGAAGUCGGCGUUGGGGACCGGCAGCACACCGCCGGCCCUGAAAUGGAGUGGCGGCCCGUCCGCGGCGACCUCUGCGUAGUAAACCAACUCGCACCGGAACCCCGACGUGGCCACGCCGUAAAACACCCAGCUUCUGAACGUUGACCUCGAAUCAGGUAGGACUACCCGCUGAACUUAAGCAUAUCAAUAAGCGGAGGA
This 343-nucleotide unclassified non-coding RNA is filed under the name soil metagenome. RNAcentral's name for it is "partial contains 5.8S ribosomal RNA, internal transcribed spacer 2, and large subunit ribosomal RNA". The stretch from base 1 to 120 matches the Rfam family "5.8S ribosomal RNA", at positions 35 to 154 of the family's 154-position model. The record is from RNAcentral.